UGGGUAACCUGCCUUAUAGUGGGGGAUAGCCUUUCGAAAGGAAGAUUAAUACCGCAUAAGAUUGUAGUAUCGCAUGAUAUAGCAAUUAAAGGAGCAAUCCGCUAUAAGAUGGACCCGCGUCGCAUUAGCUAGUUGGUGAGGUAAUGGCUCACCAAGGCGACGAUGCGUAGCCGACCUGAGAGGAUGACCAGCCACACUGGAACUGAGACACGGUCCAGACUCCUACGGGAGGCAGCAUG
This 239-nucleotide ribosomal RNA is filed under the name uncultured bacterium. RNAcentral's name for it is "partial 16S ribosomal RNA". It matches the Rfam family "Bacterial small subunit ribosomal RNA", at positions 118 to 353 of the family's 1533-position model. The record is from RNAcentral.